Molecule: ribosomal RNA, 323 nt
Filed under: Meriderma aggregatum
Lineage: Eukaryota; Evosea; Eumycetozoa; Stemonitida; Stemonitidae
Description: bacterial SSU rRNA
Rfam family: Eukaryotic small subunit ribosomal RNA
Source: RNAcentral
UCUGAAUCUGCGUACGGCUCCGCACACCAGUUGUAAACCAAAGCAAGCAAGCCUGACCCCGAGGCCUUCACAGGUCAAAGGGCCAGGUUACAAGGAUAACCCUGGUAAUUCUGAGGCUAAUACGUGACACGAACCUGUCGACUGGGGGCUUGCCCCUGGGAAGCGGGGGAUGUGCGACUAUCGGGCCAAAAACAACCGGAAAGAGCGCACGUUCAGACCACUCCAAAAAAGGUCUGCAGGAUCCCUCACGGGGUUUUGUGGAUCUUGUGGCUCUUGCACUGUGCUUCUGACCUAUCAACUAGACGGCAGCUUAAGGGACAUGC